This 1476-nucleotide small RNA is filed under the name Vigna angularis var. angularis. RNAcentral's name for it is "Non-protein coding transcript". The record is from RNAcentral. Lineage: Eukaryota; Viridiplantae; Streptophyta; Magnoliopsida; Fabales; Fabaceae.
GAUGGUAAAACACUAAUUCCUAAUUCCAUUUUCAAAUUUGAAACGUUCUGUUUAAUUUUACUCUUUGCUCUUCUCAAUCCCUAACAAGAAAACGGGAGAGGGUUCACUUCGAACUCCAUUUCUGACCUGAGGGGCCGUAAAAGGAGACGGGGACAGCAGUGCCGGCGAAGGCCAGGAUGACGUCAAGAGAUCGAACCGUCGCCUGGGGCGAUUUCAUUUUCGAAGCUCUUCGCAUGUGCUGACCGCUUCGAUUGGUUCCUCAUGACCGUCGGCUCCCUUGCUGCCGCGGCUCAUGGCACCGCGCUCGUCAUUUACUUGCACUAUUUCGCGAAGAUCAUUCACGUGCUGCGGAUGGAUCUUAAACUCGGCACGUCACAUGAGCAGUUUAACAGGUUCACCGAGGACUAAGUAAAGGGUGGACGUCGUGGAAAAACUAUUAACAUCUUUUCAAUUGCUUCUGGACACCUGUAAGUGGUUCUCUUCUAUUAACUUGAUAUUAUAAUUUGCUUUUAAUUAUGGAUGAAAGGCACCUAUUGAUUCCGUUUCAGUUUUCUUUGAAUUUUGAAAAUUAAGAAAUGUUUGCAUUGAUCCAAAACCUCUUAAGGUAUAUUGAUGGAAUUGUCACGUGUAUCUGGCUUGCCACAAUGUCCUUAUUCUAACUUGGACGAUCCCUAAAUGUUAAAAUAUCAACAGUUUGAGAAGAAAUUUGCAACAGUAACAUCUUUUAUCAAAUGUGACGUUGAUGAUUAUAGAAUGAACAUUGAAGCAUGACAUAAGGUAGAAUGAUGAAAAGAAUGAGUGACCUGUUGGACUAGAAGCCACUCAGUUUGCACCCUUCUUUUUCUGCUUCAAUUGACCACUUUAAUUCAAGGUUGCGGGGUGUUUCAUAUGUUUCUAGGAAAAAGAUGCAAAUAAUCACAACUAAUGUAAGAGAACUUGACCUUCCUUUGUUUUGUGUUCUGUGAUUGCUAUUUUUAUGAGGAAUUGGCUGUGUUGAUAGUUUUGUGAAAUUUGGUUUAGCAAAAUAUACAAAGUUACAUGUGCAAAGGUAGCUAGAGUAUAAUCUGAUAUUUUGUGUCUUGAUUUGAACGAGUCUUGAUUAUUUGUAUUUAAUUUGCUAUGAGUGUGGGUAUUAUGUAAUGAAACAUGCAUAGCAUUAUUUGUACAAACAUUACUAAAUCAUGGAAUAAGGUAUUAAAAUAUUAACUAAAUAUUUAUCCAAUUAUUCAUUACAAUAUUGUUUUAACUCUAUUAUUUUAUUUGUACAUCUUUAAUGAUUCAUCUUUCAUGAAAGCUGCAGACAUUGAAGACACUAGAAGGAACUGGGCUUCUUUUAUUUUAAGUGUUAGUAGAAACUUGGCUACUAUGUACAUUAAUGUAAUAUUUGGAUUCAAUAUAUAGUUUAAUGUAUAAAUGAUGUAUUAAAUAUUAUUAGACUAUUUAAUGUUUGAAAUGAAUUUUAUUUUGUUAGUUUCA